This 1526-nucleotide long non-coding RNA is filed under the name Callithrix jacchus (white-tufted-ear marmoset). RNAcentral describes it as "lncRNA (ENSCJAG00000072307.1)". The record is from RNAcentral. Lineage: Eukaryota; Metazoa; Chordata; Mammalia; Primates; Cebidae.
GCCAAAUGAAGAAUUGGAAAUAGAUUUCAGACAUCUGCACAACUAGACUGAUUAUAAUAUCCCUUUUAUUUACCUUGAAAAAAAUCUGUGAUGAAUAGAGAAGUGGUAGAAGCAUGGAAAGAAGCAUUUAAGGUUAAGAAGAAAAGGCGCAUACAAGGUAAAAGCCCUUCCCAAUGCAUCUGUGACAAAAGACAUCUCUGCAAGUUGGUCUACAAGUGGCCAUAAUAAUUCAGAGAAAUUAUUUAGCAGUCGGGAAAACAUUGCCACUGAAUCAUGGAGAGGUCUGGCAGAAAAAAAUUGUCAGAAGACUGGCAUCAAUCACAGCUAAGUGUGGUGUUUCCACUGAUUACAUGUACUCUGCAGUGAGCCUGCCAGAACAGAUCUCUGAUACUACACUGACACGUUGAUAGGUGACUGCGAGAAUGAGUGACGGGGUGGCCUGCCCACAUCUGGGACCAGAAGGAGCGAAUUGCCAUUGCUGAGUGCUUGAAUGCAGAGUAAUUCUUGCUGAUCCAGCAGCUAAUUUUUUUGAAGCUAAAUGUACACAAGGAGAAAGAGAAGAUGUCCUGUGGACUGGCUUUUCAUGUACUUCUGUGCUGCUUUCCACAGUGGUAGCACCAUUUUGCAUUUCCAGGAUCAAUGCAUGAGGAUUGCAAUUUCUCCACAUCCUCACCAACACUUGUAAUUUUCUGGUGCUUUGAUAAUAGCCAUCCUAAUGGGCGUGAGUAAAUAUCUAAAUUAUUAUGAAGAUACAAGAUGAAGAAUGAAGACCCAUCUUCUCAACAACUCUGUCCGCUAUGCCUGAAACACUACCUAAAGCCAAAACUUGAGGUGAAUAUAAACAAAUGAUAGGGCUUUCAUUCAUAAAACACCUUGGCUGUAUACCCUUUCCUCUGGUUCUGAAUUAGUUAAAAAAAAAAUUAGGCCAAUAUAUAUUCAUUGCUCUCUUUCUGGUUCUGAAAAGUACUCUUUCCCAUCUUUCCUUCCCAGUCUCAAUGGUCCAAUAAUAAGACAGAUACUAGAAAUCCCAGAAAGCAAAUGAUCAGAAACCAGAUAAAAAUUAAUGGUAAUACAAAUAUUCUAAGAAUUAUUGUAGUCUUCUAUAUCAGCUCAGAGGAAAAGAAAAGAAACUAGGAAUAGAAUAAGAUAAGAGAUACAUCUGCAAAACCAGCAGGGGAUCUAGAACUGAGAAACUGUUUUAGGAACUACUGUCAAGCCAUCCUUCAGGUAUGAUUUGGGAAAUUUGCUGGACCAAGGAUAAUCCGGUCUGGGGACAAACACUGAGCCUGAGUAGGUCAAAUGAAAGAUAAGUGGGAAAACAAACAAAUUUGAGGCUAUUCAUAUGCUAUGGCCUCAUAUGAAUAAUGUUUCCCACAAAGGGACACAAUUGAAGUCCUAACCUCCAGUACCUUUAAGUGUGAACUUAUUUGGGAAUAGGGUGUUGCAAAUGUAGUUAAUGUAAAGUGAGUUUAGUCCAGGCCAGGUGUGGUGGCUCACGCCCGUAAUCCCAAUACUUUGGGAGGCUG